AGGGAGCUACCAUUUGUUUUUUAUGGGGGUGCUAGGAUGAAAUUUGAAAAAAAUAGGCAGGACAGGAAUUUUGAGUAAAAAAAAAGGCAGGAUGACAAUUUAGGUAAAAAAAGUCAGGAUAAACUAAAAAAAAAAAGGCAGGACCGAAUAGAGUGAAAAAUAAAAAGGCAGGACAGAGAUUACAACUAAAAAAAAUGCAGGACAAAAUUUUUCAUCCUAGUCCCCCAUAAAAA
This 233-nucleotide long non-coding RNA is filed under the name Mytilus galloprovincialis (Mediterranean mussel). The record is from RNAcentral. Lineage: Eukaryota; Metazoa; Mollusca; Bivalvia; Mytilida; Mytilidae.